UUAGGUGAAAAAGCAUUAAAGUUUAUCACUCUGGAACAGAGUGGAAAAUUAUUAAUGCCUCCUGUUUGGGGCAUGCAUGGCAAGGUGUUGGUAGCAGGGUGUGGGGCUCCUGUGUGAGGCAAGGCUGGAGCAGCCUGUGGCUGCUUCCAGGUGGCUCCAAUGACCCCACCCCAGGUGGUGGUGCUCUGAACCAACCAGAGGAGUCUGUGAUGCUUCUGUGAAAACAGAUUUUAAAAAGGUUGGCAAAAGCUGAGAGAGGGACCUGAGACAGGGAGAAGGAACAAGGCCAAAAGAGUAGGAGGUAAUGCAUGGAAUUGGUAACACCCCUGAAGGCCUGGCAGCCCGUGGGAAGCCCAAACCAGAGCAGGUAGCCCCCAGAGAGACUGCAGCCUGUGGAGAGCUGCUGGGGCUUAGGGAAAGAGUGAGGGGGAAGGAGCAGCGGAAGAAAAGAAUGAGAAACAAGUAGUGGCAGAGAGGAACCACUGCACCACAACCUACUGUGGCCCGUCACCUCACUGAAGUGAGCAAGUGUAACCCGCAGCAAUAACAAGAGGAGAGGCAACUGGAGGGAAGUCAAGCCUGAGAAAGAACGUUUCACCGCUGCCCAGGUGCACUUCAAGGAAAGGGGGAGAAGCAGGAGCAGCAAAGAGCCAAGGCAUCAGCGCCAGGCAGACUGCAAGCCAAGCCCUUCCCCGCAAGGAUUUGCUAAAAGGGUGAAAAUGCGCGGGGAGCAUUCCUCCUGCAGCAGUGCCACUGGAGCCUCAUCACCUUAGCUGACCUCAGGUGUCUCCAAGCUCCAGCUCUCUAUCUCAGCUCGUUUUCCAGGAGCUACUGAACCUAAUUACAGAGGAGAAGACAACCUCAGACUGGGGCAGGCGAUGAAGCAGGGGAGGGUGGACAACACGUGCAUCCCCCGUGUGUCCUCAUGCGUUACUUCUCCAGGAUUAAACAACUCUCACCGUGGGAAGGGCAACGUCUGCCCUUCGGGAGCACGGGAGAGACAAGUGGAGGAACAAUGGCUCUGAAGCACAGCUCUGCCUUCCCCUGCCUUCCCGGCAGCCUCCACCACUGCCUGGGGCACCCUCGAGCAGCCUUGGAGGCCGAUUCCUAUGGGUGGAGUUAAAAAGGCCCUGAAAAAAUUAUAGGGAAUGGAUUUCCUGCACAGAGAUCAGGGCAGCAGGAGGACUGGGCUGAAGGAAAGAUAACAGCUGUGGAAAACUGAAUGAUUAGGAGGAAAGGAAACUGAUUUUUUUCUUUAAUUCUUGUCGCAGAAAAAAAAAACAAGAGGACAUCCAUUAAAGGAACCUAAUCAAGUUUGCUUUCCUGAUUUUUCUUGAGUAGCCCUUGGAACAUAAGGAGGGCAGGAGAGAGGAUGAAAUCCUCUGUCAGUAAUGCUUUAGAAACCCCUUGCUAUGUAACAAAAGAAAAAAUAUAUCUACAUAAAAGGAGGCAAAUCCCCAUCUAGGUCAUAUAUGUGCCAGUAACUUUCAGGAAUUGAAAAGAAACUUCUUCAAAAGGCAACUUAACAAGUAAAAAUUCUCCACAAUAGAUUUUUGCUACCUUUUUAAAGAAAUGCUUAUUUUAGUUACUCUUGGAAAAAAAAAAAACAGUCCCAACAGAAGGGCAGUAAGGGCCAGUAUGACAAUAGCACUAUUUCAGACAUUUCUGAAAGCUUAUCGUUGAUGAAUGAUACAAAACACUUUCACUGAAGUGUAAGCCAGGCUGUUGGCCUGCUUUCUGGUAAGACGUGUGUGUGUAAUCUGCAUUCCUGCCUCUUGCAGGAGAGCUGUGAUGAACUACUUCAGUCACUGCUGCACGCGGUUUUGAAGUUACAUGAAGGGAGAAUUACACUUUUUUUUUUCCCUGCUGAAAGAGGAAGGGGAUCUUCCCAUGGACUUCAUCCCGAUUUUUUCUUUGAAUAGAGCUGCAAGCAGUUUUUCAUAGCAACAUGCUGCUCAGUUGCAGAAAUCCUGUCAUUUUACUGGGGAGGGAGCCAGCCGGUACUCAGCACGAAUACUGAUGGUGUUCCCCCACCCUCCUGCCCUGUCUCCUCGUGUUGCACCGUGUUGUGUGCAGCAGGUCCUGGAGGGCACCGGGGCCAGGUGUCUCUGCAGACCUACUCGCCUUCUCACCUGGAGCCCAACCAAGCCUCCCGAGUGUUUCUUUGUGCAGUGGGCUUUUUCCAGCGUGGCUGUUUUCAGAACAAACAUCUCUGCUUCUCAGCUGAAAUGCUGGGUGCCAUCUCGCAUGCUCCCUCCUCUUCUCCUGGGUGGUCCUGUCCAGGGAGCCCUCGCCCCUUCCCGAUGAAGUUUGGGUGACACCACGUGUUGUACUGACAGAAGGCUUUGGCUUCAAUAAAUGUGCAAAACAUGAGGUGUUUUCAUUUCUCCAAAAGUGUCCUAGCUUGUUGUGACAUUCAGGCACUGUAUGGUACAAAUGAGUAGGAUGUCUGACUGCUGUACAACAGGCAGGGGAAAGCACAACUGCAAUGUACAAGUUAAUAACAGAAGUCCUGACCACACCGGAGAGCGCCUGAUGAGGAGAUGUGACCUGUAUUCCUGAAAAACUGCAGCGCAGUGUCUAUAGGAAGCCUUGCAGUAACUGCUCUGGGAGAUCAUCUCUUCCACAUCUGCUUUUCAGGUCUGGCUCACUUCAGAACACAGAACAGGAUUUUUGAAGAAAAGGGUUUGGGCAGGGGGUGCGUGUCAUUCUGCCAGGCCUGACCUCCCUCCCAGCUCUCCCAAGCCCGUUGGAUCUGCGCAUCCCUCCUGGCGUGCGAGCAGGCCUGGAGGACCUCAAGGUCUUGGCACAGCUCUCCUGUCACUCACCCUGCCGGCUGCCAGCACCCCCAGGGGCUCAGGGACAGCUCUGAGGAGCAAGAGGUCGGUGAGAGGAUGUCACACAAGCAGCAGAAAGACUCAAGGAGAGGAGAAAAAGACCAUCUUCUCUUUAGUUUCGCAGGGUAAAGGAUGCAGAAUUACUCUGACCACAAACACCAUGGAGGAAAAUUGUGCUAAUUGCAUGACUUGUUGCUGAUAAAUGUGUCUGAACUCCUUGUAUGCCUUAAGACCUUUUCCUUCAGAGAGGCAGACAACUCGAAGAUCUUCUCAUACUGCCCAAAAUUUGAAGCCUGGUUGUGGGGGCACCCCAUCAGGUAACCCACUCCCGUGCUUUUUAUUUGAGGGGUUUAUUCAGCAACCCCGUAACAUUCUGGCUGCUGUUCCAACGUGUCCACUUCUGAGCAAGAUCUGAGAAAGUCCCCAUCACGGGGACCCAUCAUGGUCUUGGAGCUUGAGAUAAUUCACGAAGGGAAUCUUCUGCCCGGUGCGUUUGAAGGCCCAAUUCUGCCGAAACAGCAGGGACAGUUUUUCCCCUCUAACUCCCGCACGCUGCGGAUGUUCUGACCUCUGCUGGCAGCAGGCGGGAAUUACCGGAAUUCUGCUAAUCGGCGAUAAAAGGCCAGAAAAAGAAACACAUCGGCCAGCAUCGGUGUGAGUGUCGGCAAAAAUAACAUUUUAAAGCGGUAAAGCAGUUGGGUAAAUCGACAGCUUUUCUUUUUUUAAUAGAAAAGAAAAAAGAUCAAUAAAAUAUUAUUUUCUGUGAAUUUUGAAGAAGAAGAAGGGUAUGAAGAGUGAAGGAUAAGGGAAACAUGCCUGAAAUUUUCAAAGAAACUUGGACGCUUCAGCAGCACUGCGCUGAUGAGGGACAUCACUCUGGAAGGAGACAUGUAAGCAAACCCAGAGUCCCUCAUCUGGGUUUUGUCCCCAGCAGCUUAAAAUGACUGCCUACAUUAAAUAUUUCAGCAAAUUCUAACCUGGAUCAUGCUAACGAACAUUUGGCCGUUUUCUCCCCUGUGAAAGUCAGCUGGCACCAGCUCUUGCUGGGGCUCCUGCUGCCCACGCAGCCCUUCGCAGCCCUUGGCCAGCUCCUUGCCCAGCCACCACUGUUUUGGGACAGCUUUGGGGGCAUUUGCCUGCACCAGUUCCUGCCCAAGGGUGCUGUGACUCCCAGGGACUCCCCUUGCCCAUGAACUUGUCCUUCCUAAGAGAAAAGAGCUUCCUCCAUGAUCCAGAAAGACACAUCAUAAAUGCUAUUUGAACUGUCCUGAGCUCUGUGCUCUGCCAGGCUGGCCUACAGGUUGCUGCGGUUAAUGUAUACAAUUCCCUAUAACUGCACAAGCUGCCUCUUUAAUCUGCUGGAUCAGACCCACCUUGUUGCUCUGAAGCAGAUAUGCAUAGUAGGCUGACGAGAAACAGCUGAAAUGUCAUUGUUUGUGCCUAGCGGGCCUAAAUGCAGGUUUCUGUAAGAGUUUCCAGAAAAUUUCAAGCCAUUUAAUUGAUGACACUUUGUUAAAAUCACUAACCAACAUUUUCUGCUUAUCAUAAAUGCAAGGUAAAAAUGCUUCAGAUGCUCUCUCAAUUUUAGAACAAAUCUGCAGGGAUAAUGAUUUGUCUGGCACUGCUACAAAAUGCUGAAAAUGUCAAAUGCAAUGACUUGCGUGUGUGCAAAAAGUCUGCAAUUAUGAAGCGGGGUCAUUUUUCGCUGGAAAGCACCAAUUGCCUCUGAAUAAAUAGAAAACAUUCCUUCACCUCCAUAGCACUGGGUAGCAUCCAUACCUUUAUUAAAAGAUAUGUUAAAAAAUAAAUAAAAAACAAAAAUCUGCAAGCUUUAAAAUAUGUGGAUGCUACUUUUUUGGAUAUAAGUAACAAAGACCUUUGCAGAAAUGACUUAGAGGCCAGAGACCAGACCUGUAAGUUAUUGACUGGCUUUUGGAAGCGUGCUUCUACUUCUCUGAACUACUCAAUCUUCUCAUGGAGCUUAAAUACCUGGCAAGUCUGCCUCAGGCCCGGUGACCACAGAAAUGUCUAAUAAAUAAACAAACUGUUUGCGUUUUGUCAGCUUUGGGCCUGCAAGAAGACAUCCUUGGCUUUCGGGAAGUCUGUCAGGUGACACUUGGACAUACAAUGAAACUCAGCAAAUGCUGCUUGUAUUGUGUGGUGUUUCCUUUGAUUCCCUGAGCUUGAAUAAAUGAAUUACUAUUUUUCUUCAGAAAACGGAACAAAAACUAAGUAAGAGGCAAGUGGGGGUGCUUCCUUGGUAAUGAAGUCUUCCUUUUGUGUUUUUUAGAGCAGCUCUAUUUUCCAAAUACCUGUUCUGCAGAAGCUUUAAAGGCCUCAUCUUCUAACAAUGCGGUGUCCUCGUUGAGGCUGACCUGCGGCGGACCUCUAUUUACCAAACAGAAAGAUGCUAAUUAUUUCGUGUAUCGGCCUUAACGUGAUUACAGUGAGCAUGGACACUGUUUGUUGUUAUAGCAAUCUGAAUUAAAUUAUGCUUGUGCCAGCACAA
This is a long non-coding RNA of Anas platyrhynchos (mallard), 5346 nucleotides long. RefSeq lists it as uncharacterized. NCBI's taxonomy places the organism in Eukaryota, Metazoa, Chordata, Aves, Anseriformes, Anatidae. The record is from RefSeq and is a predicted model, not a curated record.